GAGGGAAACCGAGUCUUAACCGGGCGUUAAGUUGCAGGGUAUAGACCCGAAACCCGGUGAUCUAGCCAUGGGCAGGUUGAAGGUUGGGUAACACUAACUGGAGGACCGAACCGACUAAUGUUGAAAAAUUAGCGGAUGACCUGUGGCUGGGGGUGAAAGGCCAAUCAAACCGGGAGAUAGCUGGUUCUCCCCGAAAGCUAUUUAGGUAGCGCCUCGUGAAUUCAUCUCCGGGGGUAGAGCACUGUUUCGGCUAGGGGGCCAUCCCGGCUUACCAACCCGAUGCAAACUGCGAAUACCGGAGAAUGUUAUCACGGGAGACACACGGCGGGUGCUAACGUCCGUCGUGAAGAGGGAAACAACCCAGACCGCCAGCUAAGGUCCCAAAGUCAUGGUUAAGUGGGAAACGAUGUGGGAAGGCCCAGACAGCCAGGAUGUUGGCUUAGAAGCAGCCAUCAUUUAAAGAAAGCGUAAUAGCUCACUGGUCGAGUCGGCCUGCGCGGAAGAUGUAACGGGGCUAAACCAUGCACCGAAGCUGCGGCAGCGACGCUGAUGCGU
Molecule: ribosomal RNA, 555 nt
Filed under: Salmonella enterica
Lineage: Bacteria; Pseudomonadati; Pseudomonadota; Gammaproteobacteria; Enterobacterales; Enterobacteriaceae
Description: partial 23S ribosomal RNA
Rfam family: Bacterial large subunit ribosomal RNA
Source: RNAcentral